UACGGGAGGCAGCAGUGGGGAAUAUUGCACAAUGGGCGCAAGCCUGAUGCAGCCAUGCCGCGUGUAUGAAGAAGGCCUUCGGGUUGUAAAGUACUUUCAGUCGUGAGGAAGGUGUUAAGGUUAAUAACCUUAGCAAUUGACGUUAGCGACAGAAGAAGCACCGGCUAACUCCGUGCCAGCAGCCGCGGUAAUACGGAGGGUGCGAGCGUUAAUCGGAAUUACUGGGCGUAAAGGGCACGCAGGCGGUUAAUUAAGUUGGAUGUGAAAUCCCCGGGCUUAACCUGGGAAUGGCAUUCAAGACUGGUUAGCUAGAGUCUUGUAGAGGGGGUAGAAUUCCAUGUGUAGCGGUGAAAUGCGUAGAGAUGUGGAGGAAUACCGGUGGCGAAGGCGGCCCCUGGACAAAGACUGACGCUCAUGUGCGAAAGCGUGGGGAGCAAACAGGGACUAGAUACC
RNAcentral lists this ribosomal RNA (453 nucleotides) under uncultured bacterium. RNAcentral's name for it is "bacterial SSU rRNA". It matches the Rfam family "Bacterial small subunit ribosomal RNA", at positions 340 to 786 of the family's 1533-position model. The record is from RNAcentral.